GACUGGGAUUGCUUCACAUAUGAGGAGGGUUGAUGCUGAGUUGGGCAUCAUCUUUCAGAAAUAGCAUCACAUCACAUUAAAAGUUGCUACUAGAGUUGUCUGGGUAAAGGGAGACAAUGGUAGAGAGAAGUGAUGGGGAGGGAGGAUGAGAAAGAGACAAAGACUUAAUGUGUGAGUGAGUAUAUAUUUUAGAGGUUUACUGUUUGUCAACAAAGUACAUGGGGGUAGAGCUGAUUGUGUGUUUGAUGAUAUCGACAUGGUUAUCUGGAUUUCUGUGGUAAUGAAACCUCCAGCAGCAAGUAGCAAUGGUGAAGGAGGACACCAAGCAAGCAAGCUUGAGCAGUUGUUCUGGAACCUCCAGCAUUGGCAGUGAUGAUGAAUAAAACAGCUGGGCUGUUGAAUGGAAAGAAAAUGGUGAAGGAAGAAGAAAUUGUGAGAAGGAGAAUCAGUCAUAUAAAAAAAACUUGUCAACUCAGUGUAAACCACAGGCUUCA
Molecule: long non-coding RNA, 494 nt
Organism: Rhincodon typus (whale shark)
Lineage: Eukaryota; Metazoa; Chordata; Chondrichthyes; Orectolobiformes; Rhincodontidae
Exons: 3
Source: RefSeq, a predicted model, not a curated record